Molecule: unclassified non-coding RNA, 282 nt
Filed under: Hevea brasiliensis (rubber tree)
Lineage: Eukaryota; Viridiplantae; Streptophyta; Magnoliopsida; Malpighiales; Euphorbiaceae
Source: RNAcentral
CCCUGCUGCCACAGCAGGGUGAGGCAAAGAAGGAUUAUUGCUUGACAUCCACCCAGCAAGAGCACCAGGAGAUGGGGAAACAACAGGCUGAAAUGGACCAUGGGCACCAAUUGGAGGAAAUGCACCAGCCUUGGGAAUCGGCCCAACAAUGGGACUGUUUGUGGGAGGAGGAGGCCGAGCCCCAUUAGCAGUUGUUGGAGUGCAAGAAUGAUCUGUGAAUAAUGUUUUGAUAUCAGGAUUUGGACGAGGAUUCUUGCAAAGCUGAUGCUGCCAAUUUAGACU